RNAcentral lists this ribosomal RNA (402 nucleotides) under uncultured prokaryote. RNAcentral's name for it is "bacterial SSU rRNA". It matches the Rfam family "Bacterial small subunit ribosomal RNA", at positions 355 to 774 of the family's 1533-position model. The record is from RNAcentral.
UGGGGAAUCUUGCACAAUGGGGGAAACCCUGAUGCAGCGACGCCGCGUGAGUGAUGACGCCCUUCGGGGUGUAAAGCUCUUUCGGCAGGAACGAUAAUGACGGUACCUGCAGAAGAAGCUGCGGCUAACUACGUGCCAGCAGCCGCGGUAAUACGUAGGCAGCAAGCGUUGUUCGGAGUUACUGGGCGUAAAGAGUGUGUAGGCGGUUUGCUAAGUUUGGUGUGAAAUCUCCCGGCUGAACUGGGAGGGUGCGCCGAAAACUGGCAGGCUCGAGUGCGGGAGAGGAGAGCGGAAUUCCUGGUGUAGCGGUGAAAUGCGUAGAGAGCAGGAGGAACACCUGCGGUGUAGACGGCUCUCUGGACCGCAACUGACGCUGAGACACGAAAGCGUGGGUAGCAAACA